GGCAUAGCUCAGUGGGAGAGCACCUCCCUUUAAAGCAGAGGGUCCCAGGUUCAGUCCCUGGAAUCUCCA
This is a non-coding RNA of Podarcis lilfordi (Lilford's wall lizard), 69 nucleotides long. The record is from the annotation of a GenBank genome assembly. NCBI's taxonomy places the organism in Eukaryota, Metazoa, Chordata, Lepidosauria, Squamata, Lacertidae.